UCCCGGCCGGGUGCGCGGGGACGUCCCCGCCCGUAGGGACGCUCCGGCGGCGGCACUUCCCCCUACCUCAAGGCUGAGGCUCCUGCAAGCCGCGGCGCUGGCGGGGCUCCUCCUCUGCGAGCGGCGGCGAGGAAGCUGCUGCCGGAGCCGCCGCGGGAGCGUGAGCCCGGGGCACCCCGGCGGUGAUCCUAUGAAUUACUGAAGUUGUUCAAAACCAACAAUGCCAAGGAGCUGGUGACAUUCCUGUUGCAGCUAUGGAUUUGGAUAGAUCCUCUGUCUGGGGAUCCCUGAAACAGAAAACCAGGCCUUUGUUACAAAACUUCAACAUAAAGAUGACAAAGAAAAGCUCUAGAAAAAUGAUGGCUAGAAGGCAAAGGCAUACCUUGGACCGACACCUCAGCGUAUCUGUGCCUGACAUACUGGAGAGUGAGUCUUUCACAGGCAAAGAAACUACUUAUUCAGGUUCCCAGGCCUUGUCCACCUAUAUCCCCAGCACUCUUUCCAGCUCGGUCAUGUCUCUCAAGAGCAGCAGCACUUCUUUGAAACGGGCAGGAGAGGACCUGCAAUGGAGACAGCAGGAGGCUGUGCACACAGAGAUCAACAUAACUGAAACAGAAACGGAAGUCAUGUGUGGAUCAGAACCCAGACGGAAAUCCAGCAUUGACCUCUUUGCGUUGCUUCAGAGAGCACGCCUGAGUGGUGAUCUGACAGAAGAAAUGACUGAGCAUCCAUGUGAAGGGAUAGAUCUGGAAUCUUCAAUGUCCUCUCAACUUUUUGAUGAACAAAUUGCUUCUGAGGAAGGAAAUGACUAUUUGAGCAGCUUGUCCAGCUCCUUUGCUUACCUACUGACAAUACACCUGAAAGAAGGCCGGAACCUGGUCAUUAGGGAUCGCUGUGGUACAAGUGAUCCAUACGUGAAAUUUAAAUUGAAUGGAAAAACUCUAUACAAAAGUAAGGUCAUCUACAAAAACCUAAAUCCAGUUUGGGAUGAAAUUGUUGUGUUGCCAAUACGGACUCUUGAUCAGAAGCUCCGGGUCAAGGUAUAUGAUCGAGAUUUAGCCUCCUCUGACUUUAUGGGAUCUGCAUUUGUGGUGCUUAGCAACCUUGAGCUCAACAGAACUACUGAACAGAUUUUAAAAUUGGAAGAUACAAACAGUAUAGAAGAUGAUAUGGGAGAGAUUGUGUUAAACUUGAGUCUAACAGUCAAGCAAGGAGACUUCAAGAGAACUAGAUGGUCAAAUCGGAAGAAACAAACUUCAUCCAAGUCAAGUUUCAUACGAAAUAUGCGACUGUCUGAAUCCAUGCGAAAGAACGAAAUAUGGAAUGGAAUUGUGACAAUCACUUUAUUGGAAGGGAAGAAUAUCCCAGGAGGGGGCAUGAUACAGAUUUUUGUCCUAUUAAAACUGGGAGAUCAAAAAUAUAAAAGUAAGACACUGUGUAAGAGUGCAAAUCCUCAGUGGAGGGAACAGUUUGAUUUUCACUACUUCUCUGACAGGAAGGAUAUGUUGGACAUUGAGGUCUGGGGAGAGGAUAACAAAAAGCGUGAGGAGCUUUUGGGAAUGUGUAAAGUGGAUAUUACUGCACUACCUAGCAAGCAGACCAAUGUUCUAGAACUGCCAGUGGAGAAGCAUCUGGGGUCUCUGCUUAUGCUAAUUGCUGUUACCCCCUGUUCAGGGGUUUCUAUCUCUGAUCUGUGUGUCUGCCCCUUGGGAGACCCCAGUGAAAGGAAACAGAUUUCCCAGCGCUAUUGUAUAAAGAACUCCCUUCAGGACAUGAAGGAUGUAGGCUUCUUACAGGUCAAAGUUUUAAAGGCCGUCGACCUGUUGGCAGCAGAUUUUUCAGGUAAAAGUGACCCUUUCUGUGUGUUAGAGUUGGGCAACGUCAGACUUCAGACCCACACAGUUUACAAAAACCUCAACCCAGAGUGGAACAAAGUUUUCACCUUCCCUAUUAAAGAUAUCCACGAUGUUCUUGAAGUGACAGUGUUUGAUGAAGAUGGAGAUAAACCCCCUGAUUUUCUUGGAAAAGUUGCUAUCCCUUUGCUGUCUAUUAGAAAUGGACAGCAAUGUUGUUAUACAUUGAAGAAUAAAGACCUGGAACUUGCUUCAAAAGGAGUAGUUUGCUUGGAGUUGGAUGUCCUAUUUAAUCCAGUAAAAGCAAGUAUCAGAACCUUCAAGCCACGAGAAAAGCGCUUCAUUGGAGACAACCGCAAGUUUUCAAAGAAGAUCUUAUCGAGAAAUGUUGAUCGUGUGAAAAAAAUCACCAUGGCGAUAUGGAAUACAAUACAAUUCCUAAGGAGCUGCUUUCUCUGGGAAUCUACACUAAGGAGUGUGGUAGCAUUUGUGGUAUUUGUGGUCACUGUUUGGCACAUAGAGCUUUACAUGGUGCCUCUGGCUUUGUUGCUGCUCUUUGUGUACAACUUCUCUCUGAUCACAACAGGGAAGGUCAGCAGUGCCCAGGACACCCAGGAGACCAUAUACCUAGAUGAGGAUGAAGAUGAGGAUGACAAGGAAUCUGAGAAAAAGGGAUUAAUUGAAAGAAUCCACAUGGUCCAGGAUAUUGUUAUAACAGUUCAAAACAUCUUAGAAGAAAUAGCCUCAUUUGGAGAAAGAAUUAAAAAUGCAUUCAACUGGACAGUACCUUUCCUGUCGGUCCUGGCCUGCUUAGUAUUGACAGCAGUGACAGUUAUUUUGUAUUUCAUACCAUUGAGGUACAUUGUUUUAAUCUGGGGUAAGUGCUUCAUAAUAUUGGCUUUGCAUGGGAAGAAUCCAAUAUUAAUUUAUAAAUGGGAAUAAUAAAUCUUUAAACUUGGUGUUACAGGCAUAAAAUAUUUGGGGUAAGCACUAUGAGGAUAAUAAACACUCCAUAAGCCUUGGUGGAAAUGAACAUUUGUACUGGAGAUCAGACUUUCUGCUGGUACACUAAGAAUUUACCUAUUCUGAGCUUUUUCUUGAAAUGUUCUCAUGGUUACGAUAAGGGGAGCCUUAGUGUAGACAAAAUGCUGCCAGCAUCUUUACUAUUGGGUUGUCUAGACUCUCACUGAUCAGAAUAAGAUGACAGUGGUUAAAAGACUAAUGCUCAAGCUCCCAUUGGUGGAUCGACACAACUGAUUGGAAAAUUAAGGAAAAGCGAGAGGCACAUCCUGGAGGGAUCACAAGCAUCCCCUCUGGCUUUGGAAUCUAUGAACUGACAAGAUGUGUCUGAAAGGUUUAAACACUAAGGGCCAAUCCUGCAAGAUGUUAAAUUCUGUGGAGGUUGAGGGUGCUCAGCAAAUAGCUAGAGGCAUUUAACACCUUUCUGGAGUGGGAGAUGGAUGGGGAGGAAUUGGUCAGGGUCGUAUGAAGGUACAUGGUUAAAUUUUACUCGGCUGAAAAUAGAAAAGAGGGGAAAAAAUAAGUUUCAAAAUUGUCUGACAGUGCCAAGACUGUGGUAUAGUCUCUCAUGAUAAGUGACAGAAGCCCUGUUGCUGGAGACAUUUCAGUCUUGUGCUAGACAAAGCACUAACGCAUGUAUUGUACUGUAGCCCUGCAAUAGCAGAGUUGAGAGGGUGGACUGUAUAACCCAGUAGGUAUUUUUCUGGAUCUGGUUUCAAAAAUGAUUUGGGUGAAAUAUUAUUCAUUUCUAUUACUUGAUUGACUUGGUUCUUUCUAGUCAAUUAAAGUAAUGAAACAUGCCCCUGUAAGUUGCAUUCCAAAUGAGGGAGAGAGAUAAAUGUAUGUCAAAGGGAAGGGGGAGGGGGCAAAUGUACAAGCAAAUGGUUGACAUGCCUAUGGACACAGAGUUGUUAUCCAGUUGUAUGAAAAUAAUUUUGGGAAUUGAACAGGUGGCUCAGUAGCUGGUUGGUCUGUAGGAGGUGAUAAGAACACAUAACAGUAGAUUCACAUUUAGGAAUGGGUGACUGGAUUGGAGGAAAAUAGGAAUCGGCCCACACUUCUGUACACAUUUUGAACCACACCUGAAAUUGUUGGUAGGUUCACAAAAUUUGGGACCCAGCCCUUAUAAGUGGCUUCCUGCCUCAGUUGAAAUCCUUCUGAGUAUCUCAGCAAGUUUGGCAGUCUCUGCUUCCUUUCAGUUAUUAUGAGUUCCAAGGUCAGGAAAAAGUGGUGUGUGUGUGUGUGUGUGUGUGUGUGUGUGUGUGUGUGUGUGUGUGUGUGUAUUAGGGGCUGCUUCCGAGUCUGUGGAAUGGAGCACCCAGGCCAGUGCCUCACAGUGUAUGUGUAAGACCUAGGAAAUCACUUGCCCUUGUCAGACAGCAUAUCAUUAGCUGUCGGGAGUGGGAUGUGAGUUAGAAAGAGGGGGCUUAGUUUUGAGGGAGGAAUGGGAAGGGAGGGGUCAAUAAAGAGGUAAAGGAGAAGGAUCUGACUAAGUUGGGAGAAAGAAGUAUCUAAACCUUUCAAAGCCGUUAAGUAUCCAAAUAUCAGCUGGAUCUUCUCAACAAAUCUUGUAGCUCUUUACAUCCUUUCAGAGAAGUUGGACCAAAUCCAGUAAAGUCAGGGACAUUUCUUAAGGUUUUUGUGUAAUCACAAUGCAGUGUUUAAAAUAAUAAUAAAUUGUAAUUGUGUUUUGCUGCUCCCAUGGAAGAUGCCCAACUUUACUGGUAUAUUUGAUCUAAUGUUCAGGGUUUUGUGUAGUUUCCUGCUCUCACUGCCCAUUAUAGAGAAUCCAGGUGUACACACAUUACUGACCUGAUUUUCAAUGGGGCUGCAACUUCUGUGUGCAUUUUGGAACCAGGGAAUAAAAUUUUUGUAUGCAGAUUUAUGCCUGUAUUAAUAGAGCUCAUAGUCUGAAAAUAAGGCCCUUAAUGUAUGUCUGUAAUAAGAGAAAGUUGGAUUUUUUUUUCUCAGAAUGUUUUUGUCACCCUUCAUCAAUUUCCUUGGUUAUUUACAAUGCUAAAUCUGGGUAGGGGUGAAAGAACAAAAACCAGAGGGCAGGGUAGCCUCAUCAAACAACUUUGCAAUGUCACACCAUCAUGUAACUGUAUGCUUCUGGACAGUGGUCAACCCUGAUUAGUUUUAUAGUGUUGAAUCAUCCGCUAAUGUCAGUCUAACAUUAGGGGCUGGAUAUGAGGAGAAUGAGUGGAUGAUACUUUCAAAAGCUGGAGCUGGGAGAAAAACAGUAAAAUGAAUUAUUGAAUUCAACAAAAGAGCGAAUGAAAAGAAAAGAGAGAGGAAAUUCCCGUGAACUAAAAGUUCAGUAACAAUAUGUUUCUGCCUCAAUGUGGAAGACAUCCAGAGUACACCAAAGCUAUACAUCCAGUCAACAUCAUCUAGACUGACAGGGCCUUCAAAUAUGAUACAUGUUAAACAACUACCCUGUGGCAAGGCCUCAAAGGACCUUAUGAUAUUUUCUGUUUUUAAAAAUCAGGUAUACAGAAAAUUGCAUUGGCAUUUUGCUACAACAAUAUAGCUUAAAAGCUGCAUUCAUAUUUGAAGCAGGUACAUUUGAGAGAGAGAGAGAGCAGCAAGGGAGAGAGUGGAAGUCAUUGCAUUUGAAACCAUGUGCAGAGAAACUACGGUGAAAUUUUAACUUGGGCUGUGAUUAGAUUAGGUGCUUGUGACCUCUUUCUUUGCUUAUAGGAUACCAAUAUCUUAAUUUUCAAGCUGCAUUAUUAUUUACUCUCCUUUUCCUAAUAAGACUUAACUCUCCUAUGGCACAUUUCAGCCUUCCAUCUAAAAAGCUUACUAUACAGAAGGAUAAGCCACAUGACAAAUUCUAGUUUCCAAAUGGGGAAACUGAGUCAAAGAGAAGUUGAGUGGCUUGCCUAAAUUGACACUGUCAGAGCUGGGAAUAAAGCCCAGGCUCCUGACUACCAAUGCUGGACCUUGUUCAUGUUUUUGCUCAGAGAAUAGUCUGGAUCAAAGUUGUAUGGUGCUCCCCCUCUGAUUUAGGAUUCACACCUUCCAUUUCUACCCACAUCAGGAGAUCCGGUCAGAAAAUGCCAUUUCUGCAAGACUUAAACUGUUCAUGGAAAAGGGUCUUUUUUGAUAAUUUUUAAACUCAAUUUUUAUAAUCUUUUUUUAACAUUUUUUAAACAAAGUUCUGAUUUUUCUGAUUAGAAACAACUUUUUGUUUUGAAAUUUAAGGUAAUUCAAAGAAAAAUAAAUAUGUAAAUAAAAAUGGUCAGCAUUGAAACAAAACAUUUUGGAAUUCUCAAAGUGAAACUCUUUGAUCCACCCAAAUUAAACUUAUUUCAGAUAUUUGGUUCACAGGCAUUUUUGAGAGUUGUAACUUUUUGGCCUGAUUCAGGCCAGGAAAAUUUUUUGAUAUCUGAAAUUUUUUAUGGGAUAAGAAAAUCAUGAUCUGCCCUGCACACCUGGUGAGCCCUGAUUCCACUGCUGGGAUCAUCUACAGCUAAGCACGGUUUGGCUAUCUCUGCAGAGCAAACUAGGGGUGACAUUGCAACGCUUAAUAAAUCAAGUUAUCAACCUUAGUCAGAUCAAAAAAUAAAAUCCUAAUAAGUUUUCACAGUUUCCCACAGCAUCAAAGUACAAUCAAUCUGGCUCUUCAGUGAAAGGAUAAAAAGCUAUGAAACAUGCUGGGGGUGGGGUAGAGGUCCUCAGUCGCUUUCUUUUUCAAACUAAACAAGAAAAAAAACAAACCCUCCUCUGUCCCAUUUCUGUCUUCACCCUCCAACCUCCUAUAUUUUCCCUCAAGCUUCAGGAGAGGACCACAUUCGGUCUAAUGAUGCUAUAUUUCAGAACAGAAUGGGCUGUUAAUCCAUGUAUUCCCCACCUCUACCCCCUUCCCCCCCCCAAAAAUAAAAGAAAAAAAAAGCUGUUGGGUUCCACAGUUUCCGCUUUUUCAGCCACUGCCUCUCUGCUGGUGUGGUAAUGGGAUUUUCAUCAUCCAAGUAAAGCAGAGUCUUUUUAUAUAGUAAUUCCCUUUCCUUCCUUCCUUCCUUCCUUCCUUCCUUCCUUCUAAGAGUGAAUUUGUGAAUGAUUCCACAUGACAGCAACAUGUGCAUGACUUGAAGUCAAGUCAUUGUUUUCACACUCAUUUUUACUUGUGAAUUUCUGUUUUCCCCCCACUUGCCUGAGCAAUUAAAAAUAACUAAAUAAAUAAACUGGGUUUGUAUUGUUUUAUUUUUUUGUU
RNA transcript from Dermochelys coriacea (leatherback sea turtle), 7092 nucleotides. It is a transcript of the gene named multiple C2 and transmembrane domain containing 2, with no coding region annotated. The record is from RefSeq and is a predicted model, not a curated record. The transcript has 22 exons. NCBI's taxonomy places the organism in Eukaryota, Metazoa, Chordata, Testudines, Dermochelyidae.